Molecule: ribosomal RNA, 322 nt
Filed under: uncultured Rhogostoma
Lineage: Eukaryota; Cercozoa; Thecofilosea; Cryomonadida
Description: SSU rRNA
Rfam family: Eukaryotic small subunit ribosomal RNA (bases 59-322)
Source: RNAcentral
GACUUCUGGUCUAAUGCGCCUGGCCCGCGGUCGUAAGACAUGUGAGUGCCGGUGCGCGUUUACCAUCCUUCUAGAAAACAAGUCUUCCCUUUACUGGGCCGGACUUGGGAUCUAGAUCAUUUACUUUGAAAAAAUUAGAGUGUUUAAAGCAGGCUAUUGCUAUGAAUACAUUAGCAUGGAAUAAUAAUUUAGGACUUUUGUCCUAUUUUGUUGGUUUCUAGGACGAAAGUAAUGAUUGAUAGGGAUAGUUGGGGGUGCUAGUAUUCAGCGGCCAGAGGUGAAAUUCUCGGAUUCGCUGAAGACUAACUUAUGCGAAAGCAUU